Molecule: ribosomal RNA, 245 nt
Filed under: uncultured bacterium
Lineage: Bacteria
Description: partial 16S ribosomal RNA
Rfam family: Bacterial small subunit ribosomal RNA
Source: RNAcentral
CACGUAGGGCGCGAGCGUUGUCCGGAAUUAUUGGGCGUAAAGAGCUCGUAGGCGGCCUGUUGCGUCCGCUGUGAAAGCCCGGGGCUUAACCCCGGGUCGGCAGUGGAUACGGGCAGGCUAGAGGUAGGUAGGGGAGAAUGGAAUUCCCGGUGUAGCGGUGAAAUGCGCAGAUAUCGGGGAGGAACACCGGUGGCGAAGGCGGGUCUCUGGGCCGUAACUGACGCUGAGGAGCGAAAGCGUGGGGA